Molecule: transfer RNA, 85 nt
Filed under: Felis catus (domestic cat)
Lineage: Eukaryota; Metazoa; Chordata; Mammalia; Carnivora; Felidae
Rfam family: tRNA
About the family: Transfer RNA (tRNA) molecules are approximately 80 nucleotides in length. Their secondary structure includes four short double-helical elements and three loops (D, anti-codon, and T loops).
Source: Rfam by way of RNAcentral
ACCUGGGUGGCUCAGUAGGUUGAGUGUCUGACUUCAGCUCAGGUCACAAUUUCACGGUUUGUGAGUUUGAGCCUCACGUCAGGUU